UACAAAUUAUGCAAAAAAAACUCGCAAAAUUAAAAUGUUAAUAAAAAGCUUAAAAAUGCCAACGGACCAAACUCGGUAAAUCUGCCACUGCAGGCGUAUAUCACAGAUAUAAAUAUAUAAUAGAAUUUAGUACAAUUAUUAUUUUGUGGCUUUAUAUAAUGUAGGUGUCCUAAGGAACAUGUAUCAUAAUCCAAAGGAAAAUUCAAAAUAUG
This is a non-coding RNA of Cinara cedri, 212 nucleotides long. The record is from the annotation of a GenBank genome assembly. Lineage: Eukaryota; Metazoa; Arthropoda; Insecta; Hemiptera; Aphididae.